GAUGAACGCUGGCGGCGUGCCUAAUACAUGCAAGUCGAGCGAACAGAUAAGGAGCUUGCUCCUUUGACGUUAGCGGCGGACGGGUGAGUAACACGUGGGUAACCUACCUAUAAGACUGGGAUAACUUCGGGAAACCGGAGCUAAUACCGGAUAACAUUUGGAACCGCAUGGUUCUAAAGUGAAAGAUGGUUUUGCUAUCACUUAUAGAUGGACCCGCGCCGUAUUAGCUAGUUGGUAAGGUAACGGCUUACCAAGGCGACGAUACGUAGCCGACCUGAGAGGGUGAUCGGCCACACUGGAACUGAGACACGGUCCAGACUCCUACGGGAGGCAGCAGUAGGGAAUCUUGCGCAAUGGGCGAAAGCCUGACGGAGCAACGCCGCGUGAGUGAUGAAGGGUUUCGGCUCGUAAAACUCUGUUAUUAGGGAAGAACAAAUGUGUAAGUAACUGUGCACGUCUUGACGGUACCUAAUCAGAAAGCCACGGCUAACUACGUG
Molecule: ribosomal RNA, 497 nt
Filed under: uncultured bacterium
Lineage: Bacteria
Description: partial 16S ribosomal RNA
Rfam family: Bacterial small subunit ribosomal RNA
Source: RNAcentral